CUGCGGCCUAUCAGCUUGUUGGUGAGGUAAAGGCCCACCAAGGCUAUUACAGGUACGGGCUCUGAGAGGAGAAGCCCGGAGAUGGGUACUGAGACACGGACCCAGGCCCUAUGGGGCGCAGCAGGCGAGAAAACUUUGCAAUGUGCGAAAGCACGACAAGGUUAAUCCGAGUGAUUUCUGCUAAAGAAAUCUUUUGCCAGUUCUAAAAAUACUGGUGAAUAAGGGGUGGGCAAGUUCUGGUGUCAGCCGCCGCGGUAAAACCAGCACCUCAAGUUGUCAGGAGGAUUAUUGGGCCUAAAGCAUCCGUAGCCGGCUCUGUUAGUUUUCGGUUAAAUCCAUAUGCUCAACAUAUGGGCUGUCGGAAAUACUGCAGAGCUAGGGAAUGGGAGAGGUAGACGGUACUCGGUAGGAAGGGGUAAAAUCCUUUGAUCUAUCGAUGACCACCUGUGGCGAAGGCGGUCUACCAGAACAUGU
This 474-nucleotide ribosomal RNA is filed under the name uncultured Nitrososphaerota archaeon. RNAcentral describes it as "bacterial SSU rRNA". It matches the Rfam family "Archaeal small subunit ribosomal RNA", at positions 215 to 690 of the family's 1478-position model. The record is from RNAcentral. Lineage: Archaea; Thermoproteati; Nitrososphaerota.